RNAcentral lists this ribosomal RNA (497 nucleotides) under uncultured bacterium. Its description in RNAcentral is "partial 16S ribosomal RNA". It matches the Rfam family "Bacterial small subunit ribosomal RNA", at positions 28 to 507 of the family's 1533-position model. The record is from RNAcentral.
GAUGAACGCUGGCGGCGUGCCUAAUACAUGCAAGUCGAGCGAACGGACGAGAAGCUUGCUUCUCUGAUGUUAGCGGCGGACGGGUGAGUAACACGUGGAUAACCUACCUAUAAGACUGGGAUAACUUCGGGAAACCGUAGCUAUUACCGGAUAAUAUUUUGAACCGCAUGGUUCAAAAGUGAAAGACGGUCUUGCUGUCACUUAUAGAUGGAUCCGCUAUGCAUUAGCUAGUUGGUAAGGUAACGGCUUACCAAGGCAACGAUGCGAAGCCGACCUGGGAGGGGGGGCAGACACACCAGAACGGUAACGCGGUACAGACUCCUACGGUAGGCGACGGAGGGGAAAGGACCGCUAGGGGAGGGAGGCUGGACGGAACAAGCCGCGUGGGGUGUAGAAAGAAUGGGAUAGGAAAAGUCUACUGCUAUGAAAGGACAAAAAUGUGGGGUACGUGUAAGAUGUUGACGGUACCAUAUGAAUAAGCAUCGGCUAACUACGUG